Molecule: long non-coding RNA, 537 nt
Organism: Syngnathus acus (greater pipefish)
Lineage: Eukaryota; Metazoa; Chordata; Actinopteri; Syngnathiformes; Syngnathidae
Exons: 2
Source: RefSeq, a predicted model, not a curated record
AACAGGUGGAAUCGGACAAAAAUUGCAAAAGUUAGAGCAAAUGUAGCUAUUUAGGGCACUUCUUGUUGAAAUAAGGUCACUUCCAGUUUAUUUGGAGCACUUCCGGUGUAAUUUAGGGCACUUCCGGUUUAUUUGGGCUCACUUCUGGUUUACCUGAGGUCACUUCCGGUUUAUUUGGGGUCACUUCCGGUUUGAUUUGGGGUCACUUCCGGUUUACCUGAGGUCACUUCCAGUUUUUUUGGGGUCACUUCCGGGUUGAUUUGGGGCACUUCCGGUUCAUUCUGGGUUCAUUGGGGCACUUCAGGGUCAAUCCAAGAUGGCCGCCACACUGGAAGUGGGGAUCAAGGGUUGAAUUGUGUAAGCAUCGUGGAAGUGGGGGUGAAUGGGGGUGAAUAUGGUAAGCAUAAGGUGAACAAAGUGAAUAAAGUUGGAAUGGGUUGAAUCGGUUGAAAAAUGUAGAAAUUAGAGUAGAAAAACGAAAUUUUGGAGAAUUUGGUUGAAUUUCAAAUUUGAAAGUUUGGAAUUUUUGGUAAGUGG